GACGAACGCUGGCGGCGUGCCUAACACAUGCAAGUCGUGCGAGAAAGUUCCUUCGGGAGCGAGUAAAGCGGCGCACGGGGUGAGUAACACGUAGGUAACCUGCCCCCCAGUCUGGAACAACUAGAGGAAACUCUAGCUAAUGCCGGAUGAGACCACGAUCCCUUCGGGGGUUGCGGCCAAAGAUGGCCUCUACUUGUAAGCUAUCGCUGAGGGAUGGGCCUGCGGGCCAUUAGCUUGUUGGUGAGGUAACGGCUCACCAAGGCUGUGAUGGCUAGCUGGUCUGAGAGGAUGACCAGCCACACUGGGACUGAGACACGGCCCAGACUCCUACGGGAGGCAGCAGUGGGGAAUAUUGCGCAAUGGGCGAAAGCCUGACGCAGCGACGCCGCGUGGGUGAUGAAGGCCU
Molecule: ribosomal RNA, 406 nt
Filed under: uncultured bacterium
Lineage: Bacteria
Description: bacterial SSU rRNA
Rfam family: Bacterial small subunit ribosomal RNA
Source: RNAcentral